This is a long non-coding RNA of Pezoporus occidentalis (night parrot), 1828 nucleotides long. RefSeq lists it as uncharacterized. The transcript has 4 exons. The record is from RefSeq and is a predicted model, not a curated record. NCBI's taxonomy places the organism in Eukaryota, Metazoa, Chordata, Aves, Psittaciformes, Psittacidae.
GAGACACUCUGUGCCAGCUGGGGAACAUCCUUCUCCUUGGCUAAGUUCAGAAUCACUCCCAAACCAAUCCGAGCAAUCCGGUCCCUGAAGGAAGGAGAAGCACAGGCAGAUGUUUCCCUGUGGGACACAGCUGCCAGGUAUGCUGUCUGAUGUGAUGCAGUGAGAUGUGACAGGCUGGUGGUGGAAGAACCUGUCUGGGUCUGAUGGAAGAGCUCCCGCUGGGAUAGGACCACUGGGUGGUGGUGAAUAGCCCAGGACCACCACAUCAGAGGCUCUCAUGCUUGAGAUAAGACAUACAUAGCAAUCAACAGCACGUGAUAGGCAAAUGCCAGGCUAGAAAUAGAUCUGCUUAGUCAGCUUUGCUGGGGGUGUGUGAGCUGCUUAAUGUUUGGGGGUGAAAACUUGUUUGUCUCUCAUUAGUGCUGUCCUCUGGCUGCUCCCCAGAUGGGUGCCAAGCCCAGGACAGGGGUUUCACAUCUGUCUGAGCAACCACACAGAACUGGCCAGGGGGGUCUGCCUGUCCUGCAAUGACAGCAUGUGGGAAACCUGUGUAUUCCCUUAGUCCUGCACUCUCCUAGAAGAGGACAGCAAGAGCUCUCCUGGGGCAGGCAGCUGGGGACCAGCAGCUGCUGCUCAGUCAUGGCUGGCUUUGGGAGCCCUCUGCUGUGAGAAUGGUCUUAAAAUGACACCUCAAUGGGGCUGUGCCCUAAAAGCAUACAGUGAGGAAGGGUGAAAUGAUGGGCUCUUUCCUGCCCUCCCUGAGCUUGCCAGGGCAGCUCCAUCUUCUCAGCCCUUAGGUAUGACCCGUUUGGUGCCUUGGUGGAGCUGCUCCAUUCCCAAGGCACAAGCGCUGAUGUGAAUGUUCCAUGCUCUGUUGCUCAUGAGGACAGCAGCACAUUCGGUCCCAGUGAAGGUGGGGUGAAGGCACAACAGGCUCGCUGUGCUGGCAGGCAGGAAGAGCAUUUCUGGGAAGCCUGUGGCCCACAUGGCUCACGCUGACCUUGGGGUGGGUUUGGCAGCAAACACUGUGGAGAGCUCAGGAAAAAAAAGGCCCCAGCCUGGGACUGGCUCCAAGCCUGGACUCAGCUCAGAGCUGGAUGACAAACACAGCCCCAGCAGGUCACAGGAUGGAGAUGGGACCGGUCCAGCUCCCAGGAGAGCACUGCUGCUGCUGCACACAGAUGAUGGGAGAGGCCUCUAAGACAGAGACUUGGACCCUGAGGGGACCUUAUACCUCCCUAACAUCACUUAGAGGUUGAUGGUGGGUCAAGCUGUGUGGAGUGAGGGGCUGGGAGCCCACUGCUGCUCUGAGACUCUGGCCCAUGAACUACUUCUGGAGCAGAGAUGGUGACUCCAGCAGCUGCUUUCUUUUGCCAGGAAGCUAAUGAGGUCCAGGCUGCGAGUCCACAGCCCUACAGCUAGGCACAUCACCCAGGAAGCCAGAGCAAGACCCCAAAUUUGGUCAGACUUCCUCCACACACAAAAAAAGCCCUGGCUGGACUUGGGAGCAUGGAGGGAGAGCCAGGCUGUCAGAGUCAUGCGUUUGCCUGUGGGAUACCAGGAGAGAAAGGACUGAUCCUGACCCAGCUCAUGGCAGGGAGGGAUAUCAUUGCCUGGGUGUGACCAGCAAGUAGGGAUCCCUCCAUGCAAGGACAUGGAUGGACAUGGUGUGGAGCCGAGGGGGCUUGAUGCACCAGGAGCACCCAGAGCAGGGAAAUUUGGGGAGUAUGGGUGGGAUGGUUGGAGGGGAUGUGGGACAGCAUGCAAGCCUGCAAUGGGGAGGGCUGUUGCUUUUUUUUGAGGGGGCUCUAUGCAGACUCACCUAUUU